CGCCCUGUCGCGCAGCGCCAUUGGCUGGGUCCGACGGAGGGGGCGGUGCCGCCCGGCCCGUCGGGGCUCGCGGCUGGCCCUGCACCGGAGCCGCCGUGAGGGCCCGUCCUGCCGUGGCGGGCAGCGCUCGGCGCGCUGAGGGGGGAGCGUGGCGCUUAGCAGGGCAGGAGAGCCCUGGAGCUUCGGAGCCCCUUUUUCAGAGACAAUCUGGAGAAGAAGGAAGUCCAAGAACUAAGCUGGAGGGGAAGAAAACAUGCUUGGAUAAUGUGCUGCACACUGGUGGGAGUGAUGGAGGAGAGAGCUGAGCAGAGAAAAGACAGCUCAGUUUGGACACAUCUCUGAGGAGCCAGAGCAGAGCUGCCUGCACUGGAAAUGGGCGUGGUAUCUGCAGCACAGGUCUCCAUAUCUUUGACAGAGAGACUUAGAGGAAGAAGAAUGAAAAUGCUGAACCUCUCUCAGCUCUGGUAGUUAUGGACAAGCGACUCAGGGGCUUUGAGCACCAGCCUCUGUUAGCUGUAAAUACAAACCACUGAAAAGCACCAGAACUUUCCCACUGAAGUAAAGGCAUCGGGAACAGGAGAUUAAUGGGUUGCCAGCUGUGUCGGCAUGAUAAGCCAAGCAAGAACUCAGACUCUUUCAGUCAAAAAUGGAUUGAGACCUCAGCAGGGACACAUGGCAAAUCAGCCAGAAGCCACACAUGGAAAACUGAGCAAGGCAGCAUGGGCAAACAUUCCUUAUCUUCGCUUUACGUCAAUAGAAAUGGCAUUGUAAAAGAGGCAGCAAAGUAUUGGCUGGAGAGGAGGAGGGAAAAGUCCACAAACUUUCUUGGCCGUACAUGUAGGUUUUAAAAUGCUACUGUUUUCCUCGGAAACUUGUCAUUGAAAACAAGUAUCCAGCAAAAACCACCCAGCAAGUUCUUCCAGAAGGCUCAUUUGCUUGUUUUGGUGGAUUUAGCCAAGUUGUGCUGGCAGGAAUCUGCCUGCCACUGCUGUUGUGCUCCAGAGGCGGUCGGGAAAGUACAACCUCUUAAACCAGGCUAAAGCACAGCUGUGAUAAUUACUCCAUCUACUAUGAUUUGCCACAAAAUAGGGCUCAGGGGAGAGGCAGACCUCAGAAGUCUGGGCUUUCUACAAGGUGAUGUUGUCUGCAGCCAUGUCCCUGUUUCCCACAGCUCCUGCUUUUACAGCAGCCUAGCCAAUUAUCUUCAUUAGCCUUUUCUUUGCUUUCUGGUUUUAUUGUUUUUGUUAAGGCUAAUUAACAGAAGAGUGGAUGAG
This is a long non-coding RNA of Motacilla alba alba, 1274 nucleotides long. RefSeq lists it as uncharacterized. The transcript is spliced from 3 exons. NCBI's taxonomy places the organism in Eukaryota, Metazoa, Chordata, Aves, Passeriformes, Motacillidae. The record is from RefSeq and is a predicted model, not a curated record.